Vidua macroura (Pin-tailed whydah) is the source of this 365-nucleotide long non-coding RNA. RefSeq lists it as uncharacterized. NCBI's taxonomy places the organism in Eukaryota, Metazoa, Chordata, Aves, Passeriformes, Viduidae. The transcript is spliced from 3 exons. The record is from RefSeq and is a predicted model, not a curated record.
ACAGACUUGAAAAAUAAUUGUGACUUUAGAUAUGCAAAUGGGUAUUAACAAACUGAAUUACUAAUUCUGACUCUUUCCUCUGAACUAAAGGGACACAUCGGUUGACGUAACUCCUGUGGAGAAUGGAUUUCAUCUUUUGCUGAAGUUUUGCUCCAGCCAAAGCCGGACCUCUUGAAGGUUGUAGAAAAAGGGGCCUUUGCCCCCCAGAGUUGUGCAGUUGACAAAAAUCACAGAAGACCCUUGUUUGGAGUAGAAUAAGGGUGCAGAAGUUCUUCAUUUGUCUUGGGAAGAUGGCAACUUGAAUUACUCAAAUUGGAGAGUAGAGACUAGAAAUGGCUCAGGCUUUCCCAGAGUCUUUUAUUUAA